Molecule: ribosomal RNA, 959 nt
Filed under: uncultured marine bacterium
Lineage: Bacteria
Description: bacterial SSU rRNA
Rfam family: Bacterial small subunit ribosomal RNA
Source: RNAcentral
UGCAAGUCGAACGGGAUCUUCGGAUCUAGUGGCAGACGGGUGAGUAACGCGUGGGAACCUGCCCAGUAGUAGAGAAUAACUUGAGGAAACUUAAGCUAAUACUUUAUACACCCUCCGGGGAAAAGCUUUAUGCGCUAUUGGAUGGGCCCGCGUUAGAUUAGUUUGUUGGUGAGGUAAUGGCUCACCAAGACUACGAUCUAUAGCUGGUCUGAGAGGAUGAUCAGCCACACUGGGACUGAGACACGGCCCAGACUCCUACGGGAGGCAGCAGUGGGGAAUAUUGGACAAUGGGGGCAACCCUGAUCCAGCGAUGCCGCGUGAGUGAUGAAGGCCUUCGGGUUGUAAAACUCUUUCGUCAGGGAAGAUAAUGACGGUACCUGAAGAAGAAGAUCCGGCUAACUCCGUGCCAGCAGCCGCGGUAAUACGGAGGGAUCUAGCGUUAUUCGGAAUUACUGGGCGUAAAGCGAGCGUAGGCGGACUUGUAAGUUGGAGGUGAAAUCCCAGAGCUUAACUCUGGAACUGCCUUCAAAACUACAUUUCUUGAGUUUGGUAGAGGAGAGUGGAAUUCCUAGUGUAGAGGUGAAAUUCGUAGAUAUUAGGAGGAACACCAGUGGCGAAGGCGACUCUCUGGGCCAAUACUGACGCUGAGGUUCGAAAGCAUGGGUAGCGAACAGGAUUAGAUACCCUGGUAGUCCAUGCAGUAAACGAUGAGUGCUAGAUGUUGGGAAUUUAAAUUUCCAGUAUCGCAGUUAACGCGUUAAGCACUCCGCCUGGGAAGUACGGCCGCAAGGCUAAAACUCAAAUGAAUUGACGGGGACCCGCACAAGCGGUGGAUCAUGUGGUUUAAUUCGAAGAUACGCGAAGAACCUUACCGGCCCUUGACAUACCAAUCGCGGACUUAAGAGAUUAAGUCUUUCACUUCGGGUGGAUUGGAUACAGGUGCUGCGUGGCUGUCGUCA